AAUCUUCCACAUUGGACGAAAGUCUGAUGCAGCACCGCCGCGUGAGCGAAGAAGGUUUUCGGAUCGUAAAGCUCUGUUGUGAGGGAAGAACAAGUACGGGAUUAACUGCGCGUACGUUGACGGUACCUCCGCAGAAAGCCACGGCUAACUACGUGAGAGCAACCGCGGUAAUACAUAGGUGGCAAGCGUUGUCCGGAAUUAUUGGGCGUAAAGCGCGGGAUGGCGGUCCUUUAAGUAUGAUGUGAAAGCCCACGGCUAAACCGUGGAGGGUAAUUGGAAACUGGAGGACUUGAGUACAGAAGAGGAAGGCGGAAUUCCAGGUGUAGCGGUGAAAUGCGUAGAGAUGUGGAGGAACACCAGUGGCGAAGGCGGCUUUCUGGUCUGUAACUGACGCUGAGGCGCGAAAGCGUGGGGAGAAAACA
This 422-nucleotide ribosomal RNA is filed under the name uncultured bacterium. RNAcentral describes it as "partial 16S ribosomal RNA". It matches the Rfam family "Bacterial small subunit ribosomal RNA", at positions 360 to 774 of the family's 1533-position model. The record is from RNAcentral.